RNAcentral lists this ribosomal RNA (443 nucleotides) under uncultured bacterium. RNAcentral describes it as "partial 16S ribosomal RNA". It matches the Rfam family "Bacterial small subunit ribosomal RNA", at positions 338 to 795 of the family's 1533-position model. The record is from RNAcentral.
CCUACGGGAGGCAGCAGUGGGGAAUAUUGGGCAAUGGAGGAAACUCUGACCCAGCAACGCCGCGUGAAUGAUGAAGGUCUUCGGAUUGUAAAGUUCUUUUCUAAGGGAAGAAGAAAGUGACGGUACCUUAGGAAUAAGCCUCGGCUAACUACGUGCAAGCAGCAGCGGUAAUACGUAGGAGGCAAGCGUUAUCCGGAAUGACUGGGCGUAAAGGGGGCGUAGGUGGUUUGACAAGUUGGUAGCGUAAUUCCGGGGCUCAACCUCGGCAAUACUACCAAAACUGUCGGACUUGAGUGCAGGAGGGGCAAAUGGAAUUCCUAGGGUAGCGGUGGAAUGCGUAGAGAUUAGGAGGAACACCAGUGGCGAAGGCGAUUUGCUGGACUGUAACUGACACUGAGGCACGAAAGCGUGGGGAGCAAACAGGAUUAGAUACCCCUGUAGUC